This 447-nucleotide ribosomal RNA is filed under the name uncultured bacterium. Its description in RNAcentral is "bacterial SSU rRNA". It matches the Rfam family "Bacterial small subunit ribosomal RNA", at positions 329 to 793 of the family's 1533-position model. The record is from RNAcentral.
UUCCAGACUCCUACGGGAGGCAGCAGUGGGGGAUAUUGCACAAUGGGGGAAACCCUGAUGCAGCGACGCCGCGUGAGUGAAGAAGUAAUUCGUUACGUAAAGCUCUAUCAGCAGGGAAGAAAAUGACGGUACCUGACUAAGAAGCCCCGGCUAACUACGUGCCAGCAGCCGCGGUAAUACGUAGGGGGCAAGCGUUAUCCGGAUUCACUGGGUGUAAAGGGAGCGUAGACGGCCAAGCAAGCCAGGGGUGAAAGCCCGGGGCCCAACCCCGGGACUGCCCUUGGAACUGCAUGGCUGGAGUGCGGGAGGGGCAGGCGGAAUUCCUGGUGUAGCGGUGAAAUGCGUAGAUAUCAGGAGGGGCACCGGCGGCGAAGGCGGCCUGCUGGACCGCUACUGACGUUGAGGCUCGAAAGCGUGGGGAGCAAACAGGAUUAGAUACCCUUGUAU